AAAAUCCGUUGUAUGAUCCGAAGACGUGAUGUGGAGCGAAAUAAAGUAGUGAAGCGUGUGAGCCAUGUGCCGAGAAAAGCUGCUAUUGUGUAAUGCGUGCCCGUACCGUAAACCGACACAGGUGGAUGAGGAGAGGAUCCUAAGGCCGACGGAAGAAGCAUUGUUAAGGAAUUCGGCAAAAUGACCCCGUAACUUCGGGAGAAGGGGUGCCUGCGAGAGCAGGCCGCAGAGAAUAGGCUCAAGCAACUGUUUAGCAAAAACACAGGUCUAUGCGAAACCGAAAGGUGAAGUAUAUGGGCUGACGCCUGCCCGGUGCUGGAAGGUUAAGAGGAGAGGUUAGCGAAAGCGAAGCUUUGAAUUUAAGCCCCAGUAAACGGCGGCCGUAACUAUAACGGUCCUAAGGUAGCGAAAUUCCUUGUCGGGUAAGUUCCGACCCGCACGAAAGGCGUAAUGAUUUGAGCACUGUCUCGACAAUGCAUCCGGUGAAAUUGAAGUACCAGUGAAGAUGCUGGUUACCCGCGCCAGGACGGAAAGACCCCAUGGAGCUUUACUCCAGUUUGAUACUGGGAUUCGGUACUGCAUGUACAGGAUAGGUGGGAGACGAAGAAGGAUGGACGCCAGUCUGUCCGGAGUCGCUGUUGGGAUACCACCCCUGUAGUACUGGGUUUCUAACCAGUUACCAUGAUCUGGUAAUGGGACAAUGUCAGGCGGGGAGUUUGACUGGGGCGGUCGCCUCCGAAAGGGUAUCGGAGGCGCUCAAAGGUUCCCUCAGAAUGGUUGGAAACCAUUUGAAGAGUGCAAAGGCAGAAGGGAGCUUGACUGCGACACCGACGGGUGGAGCAGGUACGAAAGUAGGACUUAGUGAUCCGGUGGUAUAAAGUGGGAUUGCCAUCGCUCAACGGAUAAAAGCUACCCUGGGAUAACAGGCUUAUCACUCCCAAGAGUUCACAUCGACGGAGUGGUUUGGCACCUCGAUGUCGGCUCAUCGCAUCCUGGGGCUGUAGCAGGUCCCAAGGGUUGGGCUGUUCGCCCAUUAAAGCAGUACGCGAGCUGGGUUCAGAACGUCGUGAGACAGUUCGGUCCCUAUCCGGCGCGGGCGGAGGAUAUUUGAGAGGAGCUGUCCUUAGUACGAGAGGACCGGGAUGGACGGACCACUGGUGUAUCUGUUGUCGACCAACGGCAUGGCAGAGUAGCCAAGUCUGGAAGGGAUAAACGCUGAAGGCAUCUAAGCGUGAAGCCCCCCUCAAGAUGAGAUAUCCCUCCUAUAAGGAGUAAGACCCCUUGAAGACUACAAGGUAGAUAGGGCAGAGGUGGAAGCAUGGCAACAUGUGGAGCUGACUGUUACUAAUAGGUCGAGGGCUUAAUU
Molecule: ribosomal RNA, 1366 nt
Filed under: metagenome
Description: bacterial LSU rRNA
Rfam family: Bacterial large subunit ribosomal RNA
Source: RNAcentral